UACGUAGGGUGCGAGCGUUGUCCGGAAUUACUGGGCGUAAAGAGCUCGUAGGCGGUGUGUCGCGUCGGCCGUGAAAACCUGCAGCUUAACUGUGGGCGUGCGGUCGAUACGGGCAGACUAGAGUUCGGUAGGGGAGACUGGAAUUCCUGGUGUAGCGGUGGAAUGCGCAGGAUAUCAGGAGAACACCGAUGGCGGAAAGGCAGGUCUCUGGGCCAUU
RNAcentral lists this ribosomal RNA (217 nucleotides) under uncultured bacterium. RNAcentral describes it as "partial 16S ribosomal RNA". It matches the Rfam family "Bacterial small subunit ribosomal RNA", at positions 524 to 738 of the family's 1533-position model. The record is from RNAcentral.